Molecule: ribosomal RNA, 246 nt
Filed under: uncultured bacterium
Lineage: Bacteria
Description: partial 16S ribosomal RNA
Rfam family: Bacterial small subunit ribosomal RNA
Source: RNAcentral
UAGGGCCUACGGGGGGCAGCAGUAGGGAAUCUUCCACAAUGGGCGAAAGCCUGAUGGAGCAACGCCGCGUGGGUGAAGAAGGUCUUCGGAUCGUAAAACCCUGUUGUUAGAGAAGAAAGUGCGUGAGAGUAACUGUUCACGUUUCGACGGUAUCUAAACAGAAAGCCACGGCUAACUACGUGCCAGCAGCCGCGGUAAUACGUAGGUGGCAAGCGUAAUCCGGAUUUAUUGGGCGUAAAGGGAAGG